RNAcentral lists this small RNA (28 nucleotides) under Bombyx mori (domestic silkworm). Its description in RNAcentral is "ovarian small RNA-20435". Lineage: Eukaryota; Metazoa; Arthropoda; Insecta; Lepidoptera; Bombycidae. The record is from RNAcentral.
UACAUGUCAGAUUCGGUAAAAUGGUCUG